Molecule: long non-coding RNA, 2155 nt
Organism: Asterias rubens (European starfish)
Lineage: Eukaryota; Metazoa; Echinodermata; Asteroidea; Forcipulatida; Asteriidae
Exons: 3
Source: RefSeq, a predicted model, not a curated record
UGAUAAAAACAAGAUUACCAAAUUUCCACGUGAUUUUCAGAAAAAAGCAAAAUAAAAAACAGAUGAAUACCAGAUAUAACUAAGUAAUAUGCAACAAAUGGAAACUUGUUGGUAAUCCUGUUUUUAUCAAGGAAGACAUUUCAUGCUAAGAAAAUUGUUGUGCUUAGCAGCUCUAUGAAGUUGGGCCCAUAUGGUAGCUCUGGGACAUCGUCAAGACAUGUUCGGUCUCAGGUAAUGUAUGUGGUGAACCUGACUUUGGCUAUAUGAUGUGACACCAAUUAACUGUCUACAUAAUAUUUUCUUACAGAUGGCUGGCCAUGUUUCUUAGAAAAUGAAGUAGUGUGUGUGCUGACAUCUUCGCUGAGCUGAAAGGACACCUAUACCAGCAGAGAAUGGAGGCGUGCAAAGGAUGUGGUAAUGUAUCUAGUUAUAAACAACUGGUGAGGAAACUACCCUUCGAGAUAGGACAACUCAAUCAAACAAUUAUUUGGAAGAUCAUAAGAAAUCUACUUGUGAGGAAAAAGGAAACAUUUCAACCCAAAAUCAUUUAAGGAAACAUGCAACCCAAAAUAAUUUUUUGUUUCAAGAUUAUUUCAAAACGUUUUAGCAGUCAAAUCACUAAAAUUAUGUUGAAAUUCUACACAGGUGUGACCAGCCACUGGCCGAGGUAAAACAACUUCAUACCCAGUUAAACAUUUCUAUUUGUUUGUAAAAUCCAAACAAAUUGAAAUCCUUUUUGAAACAUCGAUUUAAUCAAAUUUGUUAUAAAGAUGUUUUUUGAAUGCACCUACAAAUAGUAAAGUUCUCUCUGUUUUGAGUUGUUUCUUGUGCAGUGUUGACUACCGUACCUAUUUGAAGGGUACAUGGAAUGGACUAAUGGACAUGUGUGAGCUUCAUUGGAGGAUACAUGUAGUUGUGACUAUGGACCUCUCUGGAUGAACAUUGGCUGACGGUACAGAUUGAGAGGCCAUCUUGGAGCUAAUCAAUGCCUUUGUGAAACCAGAUGAAGACUGAAUGACGAUUUCAAGCCAGAUGACACUCUGCAACAAGUUCAACUUUUCACUGUGACGUGGAUGAUGAGGCAAGCCAACGCUUUGGGGCAGGUGCAAAGAGUCGACAACAGACCACUUGAUUGAGACGAUGACCUUGGAGAUGACAUCUUGAGGCUAUAACCGCCAGUUUUUGGACUGUCACCUCCAUCCAGCUGAAGAAGAGCUGUCUAACCAGAGGACUAUGAUGUUACAAAUUCAACCGCUCAAGUGACAUUUACAUGUGGAUGUUUUGAGGCCAACAUUCUUUUGGGACAAUUAUGUACAAAGAAUCAACAGUUAGUUUGAAGAAACCAACUUUUGGACUGUGUGCCAACAGCUGAAGACGUCACUGCCAGAUGUCUCCACAAGAAUUUGAACUGUUCAAUCUCUUUUUGCUCAAUGGUUUAAGUGAGUGAGGGAUGCUAAUAACCACUGCUCUUGUGCAACCAGCUGAAUCAAAGGACUGUCAAGUCCAGCUAGAUGCAUGUGUAUUAACUAUAGUUUGAUGGGCUCUCAUAAACUGAAGAAAGACUGUCAAGUCUAUAUACAAGAGGAAUUCCCGGUGGGUAAACUGAAACAAGCUGGACAAUGAGGGCGCCUUACUGUAUGACGUCACUCAAGAUGAUCAUCUUGGACUAUCUGAAUGUGUGUCUGUGGCUAUAUGGCUGCAUAUGUUGCUAUGGAUACAAUGACGAUCAAGCCGCAUCAAAGGCCACUUAUUCUGAUACGGUUCUAGUUUAUUGUUAACUCAAUAGGCAUUUACUGAAAUCCAUUAAACUCUAUUACCAAUAUUAUAACUCACAUCUGUUGAUAAAUGGCGGCCUCAUGAAAAAUAGUUUUGGUUCAUCAUGAAAAAUCUAAUCCAUUCCAAGUACAAUAUCCUUUGGAUUUUGAUGGAAUCAGAAUAGAUAGGACUCUAGAGAUGGUGUUGCUUGUGUAUAAGAGAAACAAAGCCACAAUCAAAUAAGGUUAUCACACAAUAUUAGUUGAGUUGUAUAAUUAUUUAUUUUAUAAACAUUUUGACAGCGAAAUAAGUGAAAUUAAUGUCAACAACUACAUGUUUGUUGCAGCAGAAGUUUGAACAAAAUGUGACCAAAACAAGUCACCCAAAAGUUCCCCCCCCC